GGCCACGCCCACCUGCGCUACGUCACACGCGUCAGGACGUCACUGUCGGGAACUGCUGGGGCAGUAAACAAGUAAACAACCCGCGGUGAGGCGCGCGCCAGUGCAGAGCUGAACUCGUUAAAUACACGGGUUAGGAGAAUAUAUUCUAAUAUACCUAGUCUGAUAUCCUUUCUGAUAAAAGAAAGGGCCUCUGACAUUGGAUUGAUCAGGUAGUUCAGAGACGUUCGGCUGACGUCGCGCUCCGCACCUGUGCUGCUGUGUGUUCAGCGAGGCUUCAUUUCCACUCACCUGAAAGCAGCUCGAGAGUCAAUGUAACCUGUCCCGUCUGUCCUGAGAGCUUCGUGAGAUCAGGUUGACAUGGAUACGAGCCAGUGAAAAUAAUGUAAGCUGAUCCUCCGUGUGAGAGAGGCCAGAUCACAUUUACGGUAAGAGAGCGAGACAGAGAGACUGUAUAAUAUGUGUGU
This 464-nucleotide long non-coding RNA is filed under the name Sinocyclocheilus grahami. RNAcentral's name for it is "lncRNA (ENSSGRG00000038188.1)". Lineage: Eukaryota; Metazoa; Chordata; Actinopteri; Cypriniformes; Cyprinidae. The record is from RNAcentral.